GGCCCCGGCCCCCGGGACCAGAGCGGGAUGAGGGGAUGCUGAUGCUGAUGCUGCUGCGCUCCGAAGGGUUAAAAGCCGCCGAGCCCCGUGCGUGGGAGUGGUCUGGGCAGUGUGGGGAGAAAUGCAGAAAAACUGGAGGGCACUGAUUGCAGGUGUAGUUCUCUUGGAUGACUCCUUGGGGGAAGAAAUACGUGGGGAACCAUGGUUUCAAUACAGUGGUGAAGACUGUGGAAAUCGUCACACUCGAUUGGCAGAGAGCAGAUCACCAGAACAGCACAGAAAUUCAUAGUUGUCUGAGUCACACUGGCUGUAGCAGAUCUGCUGUUUCUUCAGUCCCAAUUUCUUUUGUGCAUUAAAACAUCAG
This is a long non-coding RNA of Empidonax traillii (willow flycatcher), 364 nucleotides long. RefSeq lists it as uncharacterized. NCBI's taxonomy places the organism in Eukaryota, Metazoa, Chordata, Aves, Passeriformes, Tyrannidae. The transcript is spliced from 3 exons. The record is from RefSeq and is a predicted model, not a curated record.